This 480-nucleotide ribosomal RNA is filed under the name Dorymenia sp. ALMNH Inv 24160. RNAcentral describes it as "partial large subunit ribosomal RNA". It matches the Rfam family "Bacterial large subunit ribosomal RNA", at positions 1829 to 2602 of the family's 2925-position model. Lineage: Eukaryota; Metazoa; Mollusca; Solenogastres; Cavibelonia; Proneomeniidae. The record is from RNAcentral.
UUCUCCAUGAAUCUUAUUUGGAGUAAGGCCUGCCCAGUGAAACUAACUAAACGGCCGCAGAAUAUUAACUGUGCUAAGGUAGCAUAAUCAUUUGUCUCCUAAUUAGAGACUAGUAUGAACGGCUAAACGAAAUUUUACUGUCUCUUUUAUAUCAAAUAAAAUUUAAUCUUAAAGUCAAAAAGCUUUAAUACAAUAAAAAGACAAAAAGACCCCAUAGAGUUUAAUUUUAAUAUUUCAUAAAAAUAUGGCUAAAAAAUUUAGUUGGGGCAACUAAGAAAAAACAAAUUUUUCUAUUAAAAAAAAAUAUAACUUAUCAUUAAAUUAAUAACACAAAACAAAUUACCUUGGGGAUAACAGCAUAAAUUUCUUUGAGAGUCCAAAUCGAAAAGAAAAAUUAUGACCCUCGAUGUUGGAUUAGAAAAGCCCAAAGUAGAAAAAAACUUUGUCUGUUAGUCUGUUCGACUAUUAAUAUUCUACAUG